GCGCCAGCGAUGGCCGCUUGCGAGGUGCUGCAUGGUUGUCGUCAGCUCGUGCCGUGAGGUGUCGGGUUAAGUCCCAUAACGAGCGCCAACCCCUACUGCUAGUUGCCAGCGGGUCAUGCCGGGGACUCUAGCGGAACUGCCAGCGUAAGCUGCGAGGAAGGUGGGGAUGACGUCAAAUCAGCACGGCCCUUACGUCCAGGGCUACACACGUGUUACAAUGGCCGGUACAGAGGGCAGCCACCCCGCGGAGGGGGCGCGAAUCCCGAAAGCCGGUCCCAGUUCGGAUCGGAGUCUGCAACCCGACUCCGUGAAGCUGGAUUCGCUAGUAAUCGCGCAUCAGCCACGGCGCGGUGAAUACGUUCCCGGGCCUU
This 371-nucleotide ribosomal RNA is filed under the name uncultured Rikenellaceae bacterium. RNAcentral describes it as "bacterial SSU rRNA". It matches the Rfam family "Bacterial small subunit ribosomal RNA", at positions 1013 to 1382 of the family's 1533-position model. Lineage: Bacteria; Pseudomonadati; Bacteroidota; Bacteroidia; Bacteroidales; Rikenellaceae. The record is from RNAcentral.